GAGAAGCUUGCUUCUCUGAUGUUAGCGGCGGACGGGUGAGUAACACGUGGAUAACCUACCUAUAAGACUGGGAUAACUUCGGGAAACCGGAGCUAAUACCGGAUAAUAUUUUGAACCGCAUGGUUCAAAAGUGAAAGACGGUCUUGCUGUCACUUAUAGAUGGAUCCGCGCUGCAUUAGCUAGUUGGUAAGGUAACGGCUUACCAAGGCAACGAUGCAUAGCCGACCUGAGAGGGUGAUCGGCCACACUGGAACUGAGACACGGUCCAGACUCCUACGGGAGGCAGCAGUAGGGAAUCUUCCGCAAUGGGCGAAAGCCUGACGGAGCAACGCCGCGUGAGUGAUGAAGGUCUUCGGAUCGUAAAACUCUGUUAUUAGGGAAGAACAUAUGUGUAAGUAACUGUGCACAUCUUGACGGUACCUAAUCAGAAAGCCACGGCUAACUACGUGCCAGCAGCCGCGGUAAUACGUAGGUGGCAAGCGUUAUCCGGAAUUAUUGGGCGUAAAGCGCGCGUAGGCGGUUUUUUAAGUCUGAUGUGAAAGCCCACGGCUCAACCGUGGAGGGUCAUUGGAAACUGGAAAACUUGAGUGCAGAAGAGGAAAGUGGAAUUCCAUGUGUAGCGGUGAAAUGCGCAGAGAUAUGGAGGAACACCAGUGGCGAAGGCGACUUUCUGGUCUGUAACUGACGCUGAUGUGCGAAAGCGUGGGGAUCAAACAGGAUUAGAUACCCUGGUAGUCCACGCCGUAAACGA
This 751-nucleotide ribosomal RNA is filed under the name Staphylococcus aureus. RNAcentral's name for it is "bacterial SSU rRNA". It matches the Rfam family "Bacterial small subunit ribosomal RNA", at positions 73 to 809 of the family's 1533-position model. The record is from RNAcentral. Lineage: Bacteria; Bacillati; Bacillota; Bacilli; Caryophanales; Staphylococcaceae.